UUUAUUUAUUUUAAUUACAUUCUUUAUUUAAAAAUAAUAUUUAUUUCUAGUGACGUCACUGUUAAGGGAGGAGUUAGGUAAGUGCAUUCAAAAGCAUUGGAUGCAGCUCAGAUUGCACCCUCACCAAGUCUGCAGCCAGACCCCGUUCAAAGGAGGAGCUCAAGAAAAGCCCCUAUAAAUAUUCUGUUUAAUUGGAAAUGAAUAAGCAUCACUUACAAAUGACACAGACCUUAAAUUUUAUAGUUCAAUGAGCAAAGAUCAAGGUCCUGAAAUGCAAUUCAACUAUGUAAAUAAACAAAAACACUCAUAUUCACUAUAUACAGUUGCACAUAUUUUGUUAAUAUAGUGUAAAGCUGUCUUUAAAUGCUCUGUUCUCAUCCGCCGCUCAGCUUUUCUCUGUGGUCAGGCUGACCGGUUCCUCUUUCAGGAGUUUGGCACGAGUGCUGUGCCGUGUUUCUGCCUGUAGUUUGGCUUCAGGAAGGCGGCGCAGCUCAGUGUCCUGCUUUUUAUUGUCUGUGUGCUUGUCUGCGGGGUCAAUGGAGACGCAGGUGUUCAUCACACACGCAAACACACACACACACACCGCAGUGCCUUAAACAACGCAACGCUAGCGAUGAUCUGAAAUCACAUUUUGGAGAUUGAAAGAAGCACACAGCAGCCUACUACUAAAGGAUGUCUGAAUGAACGUCUGUGAAGAAUUCGAGUUUUCGAGGACCUCAACAGAAACUCGACAUUCAGUAGUGGACAUCACUGACAUCCAGAAAAUAUCAACACAUCAGUCCAAACACAUGCGCUGUAGGUGAAUUGAACAAACUAAAUUGGCCGAAGUGUAUUUGUGUGUGUGUGAAU
Molecule: non-coding RNA, 849 nt
Organism: Danio rerio (zebrafish)
Lineage: Eukaryota; Metazoa; Chordata; Actinopteri; Cypriniformes; Danionidae
Source: RefSeq, a predicted model, not a curated record